This 72-nucleotide transfer RNA is filed under the name Camelus dromedarius (Arabian camel). It matches the Rfam family "tRNA". Rfam says of the family: Transfer RNA (tRNA) molecules are approximately 80 nucleotides in length. Their secondary structure includes four short double-helical elements and three loops (D, anti-codon, and T loops). Lineage: Eukaryota; Metazoa; Chordata; Mammalia; Artiodactyla; Camelidae. RNAcentral also lists the same sequence under 1 other name. The record is from Rfam by way of RNAcentral.
GGGGGUAUAGCUCAGUGGUAGAGCAUGUUCUUGGCGUGCACGGGGUUCUGGGUUCAAUCCCCAGUACCUGUG